Molecule: ribosomal RNA, 433 nt
Filed under: uncultured bacterium
Lineage: Bacteria
Description: partial 16S ribosomal RNA
Rfam family: Bacterial small subunit ribosomal RNA
Source: RNAcentral
AACGAACGCUGGCGGCAUGCCUAACACAUGCAAGUCGAACGAGACCUUCGGGUAUAGUGGCGCACGGGUGCGUAACGCGUGGGAACCUUCCCUUAGGUUCGGAAUAACUCCCCGAAAGGGGUGCUAAUACCGGAUAAUGUCUUCGGACCAAAGAUUUAUCGCCUUUGGAUGGGCCCGCGUUGGAUUAGCUAGUUGGUAGGGUAAAAGCCUACCAAGGCGACGAUCCAUAGCUGGUCUGGGAGGAUGAUCAGCCACACUGGGGCUGAGACACGGCCCAGACUCCUGCGGGAGGAAGCAAUGGGGAAUAUUGGACAAUGGGCGAAAGCAUGAUGCAGCAAGGCCGCGUGAGUGAUGAAGGCCUUAGGGUUGUAAAGCUGUUUUACCCGGGAUGAUAAUGACAGUACCGGGAGAAUAAGCUCCGGCUAACUCCGUG